Molecule: transfer RNA, 91 nt
Filed under: Paractinoplanes abujensis
Lineage: Bacteria; Bacillati; Actinomycetota; Actinomycetes; Micromonosporales; Micromonosporaceae
Description: Actinoplanes abujensis tRNA-Pro
Source: RNAcentral
GCUCGUGCUGGCCCGGCAGGCCAACAACCCGGGCUGGUGGCAGCAGUUCAGCGACGUGAUGCCGGGCUGGUUCCAGUCCUACCUCGGGCUC